RNAcentral lists this long non-coding RNA (2899 nucleotides) under Rattus norvegicus (Norway rat). RNAcentral's name for it is "long non-coding RNA NONRATT021802". The record is from RNAcentral. Lineage: Eukaryota; Metazoa; Chordata; Mammalia; Rodentia; Muridae.
UCAGAGGAGAAGAAGAUCCUGAACGAGAUGCUGGAGGUGGUGGAGCAGAGAGACUCGCUGGUGGCCCUGUUGGAGGAGCAGCGACUGCGGGAGAAAGAGGAGGACAAGGACCUGGAGGCUGCUAUGCUGUGCAAGGGCUUCAGCCUGGACUGGUCCUGAGCCUGCCUACCAUUGUGUCUGGUAGAUUGGCACCCACCUGACCCGGCUGCGUUCUCCCAAACCACUGGAUCCAGGUUCAGAAGAAGCCUGGCGUCCCCAGAGGGCAGUGCUCAGACACCACGCUGUGGGAAAACCCCAGGUGAGGGUUAUCAUCUGAGGUGACGUCACCUCCAAGGAGAGGCGCCCCCCACCCCCAGACUCCCCACUCAGGAGGGAGGAGAUGGGCAUGUUUGAUAUGUGCCCCAGGGGAACCGCCUUCAGGUCCCUGAGGGCUUGCUGCCUGGCACCUCUUUCAAGUGGCUCCUCUCCAGAGCCACUGCCACCACAGAGCACCUGCAGAGCAGAGCAACCGUUGCCCUCAUGCUCCCUGAAGCACCACCAAAGAGAAAAGUACAGAGGCAUCUUCAGAAAAGGGCUGUGGAUGGAGAUCCAGCCGGGAGCGACCCCCGCAGGGGUAAUGCUCACCCAGCUCUCGCAGGGGAAGUAGGCAGGUUCAUUAUGCAAGUUAGGAGGGUGCAAGAGGGGUCUGCCCCACCACACACUGGAUCCCCAGUGGCCAAGUGCCCCAGGCCUCUCACAUGGGCAGUGGCCUGAAGCCCGUGGAUUGCUGUGUUUUGCUUUUAGUUCACAACCAUUUUGACACUGGAAAGUAUUGACUUUGGGAGAGCUGAAGGAGGCCCUACCUUGUCAACUCCUCCCCCACCCCUUCCCCACCCUAGUCCUGUUGACAGAGAGGCGCAGUCCCUGGUCAGCGCCCACAUCAGUACAGGAGAGGGCUCUCCUUGGCAUUUUCCUGUGUUUGCACAUUGACAGCCUGGCCAGACACUCAGCCACUUCGGCCCCUUUUUGUCAAUUAACUUAUUUUUUUAAUACUUGAAAGUAAAGCAACGUCAUUUUUAUACCUUUACUAGAGACACUGCCUGUCACCUGCGCGUGGACGUGACGAGGGGGGGUCUUUGUACAUCCCAUGCAGCCUGAUGCAAAACUGACCUGAUUCUUGUUACAAGCAUUUAUUUAUUAGAUUCUUAAUGGUGUACCCGACUGGUUGGCGCCAGGAAGCAGCUCAAGGCCCUGUGGGUCCUUGCUCACAGCUUCUCUGUCCCCUCCUCCACCCAGCGCCCUGUUCCCGUUGCCGCUGGACUUGUGCAGGAGAAUGGCCUCUCUGUGCGGAUACAUUUCAGCACCAGGAGGCCAGACAGGCUGUUCUGGUCUUUUGGGGAUCUUGACUGUGUGGAACCCACUUUGUCCAGUUUUGCUGCCAAGGUUUUACCUACUGUACAUAGGUUAAAGGUUGAGACUAGCCCCUCUUCAUGCUUGCUGGGACCAGGUAGAGUGCGACCUUGUCCUUAGGCUAGCUGGUGAAAAUGCUCAGUCCAGCUAGACAGGAACCUGUACGCUGGUCUCACUUCAACGUACCAGCCACUCCAAUCUUCUCUGCCUACACCAGGAUUUUCUCAACCUGGCAAGAGCCAGUAAGCACCAUGUAACCAGAUGCAUAAACCAAGCUGUUCAUUUCCCGUGGUUUAGCCAGAGACCGGUGACUGUGGCCAGGGUGCUUCUCUCAAAACAGCAGCACAUGGACCGAUCCACUGGUGCCGUACCAAUCUGGAAAGGCCACACCAGCUGUGGGAGGGGCUAGUGCAGACGACAGCCAAGGGCCCACACUGACCCUGGACUUCCCAUGGGAACCACACUGUGCCUCAUCUUGAACAUCCAUCCACCCAACUCCAGAGGAGCAAACGGCUAUCUUACUCCUUCACCUUGAACAGAAGCUGCCAUCGCUCCCGUGGAAAUCCAGAUGUGCUGCUGGCAACCACCACAGCUCUGAUGUCAUCACUUCCUGGUCACUGACGUGGCAGUAUUGCUAUUUUUAUUCUAUAAGAGGAGGAUGUUCUGGAUUCCAUUUUCAACUACAAUCUGCCAAUAAAACUGGACUUUGGACAGGGCCAUCAUCGCCUGUGCGGCCUUCUCCUUGAGCCUGUCCUCCUCCACAGUGCCACCGGCAAUCCCAUGCAGCUCAGCUCUGUCAUUCCUGCUAACCCAGAACAAGGAAACCGUUUCCAGAGCAACCCAACAAGGAUGCAGGGGCAUGCUGCACCUCUCGUGGCCUCACAGAGCAGAAGCAACAGGUGUUCCCUUCUGCCUCUGUCGUGGUCAGCCAUGACCUGCUGAUCUCUCCAAAGCACACACACUGCUUCCAGCAGUCAUUGGAAAGUGGGCAGAACACUUUGCAGGAGGGCCUCAGAAUUCACCAGCCUCGGGAGACGUCCCCCAGCUCUCCAGUCGUGACGGCAGCGCGAGGACUUCAGGUUCUCACAGAGCACUUUUCUUAGGCUCCCAGUCUGUAACCACUAGUUUGCAGUUGAUUUCAGUGGUCCGGGGACCAGACAGGAAGUGUUCUCCGCCUCUGGAAACAUGCACAGCUCUAGUCAUGCAUUCUUCCCAGGAAUUAUGUCUUCAGUUGAAGACAGGGAAGAGAGGGAUGUGUACACUUCAUACACACACAGAGUGCAUUUGAGUAAACCCAAACUCAAGGCUAAGAGCAGUUCAGGAGGCUCUAGCCUCUAUCCCUGGAGUGCAAGCGGAAGGCAGUAAAACCCUGCUCAGUUGAUAUUUUUGUCCCCAACAGCCAACCUUGAGGUAAUUUUGACCAGCAGCUGUAGACUUAAAAAGAAGAAGAAGAAGAAGAAGAAGAAGAAGAAGAAGAAGAAGAAGAAGAAGAAGAAGAAGAAGAAGAAGA